Molecule: ribosomal RNA, 406 nt
Filed under: uncultured bacterium
Lineage: Bacteria
Description: partial 16S ribosomal RNA
Rfam family: Bacterial small subunit ribosomal RNA
Source: RNAcentral
AUUGAACGCUGGCGGCAGGCCUAACACAUGCAAGUCGAACGAGUGGCGGACGGGUGAGUAAUGUCUGGGAAACUGCCUGAUGGAGGGGGAUGACUACUGGAAACGGUAGCUAAUACCGCAUACACUGCGAUGGGCCCAGGUGGGUGUAGCUAGUUGGUGGGGUAAAGGUUAACCAAGGGGACGAUCCAUAGCUGGUCUGAGAGGGUGACCAGCCACACUGGAACGGAGACACGGUCCAGACUCCUACGGGAGGCAGCAGUGGGGAAUAUUGCACAAUGGGCGCAAGCCUGAUGCAGCCAUGCCGCGUGUAUGAAGAAGGCCUUCGGGUUGUAAAGCACUUUCAGCGGGGAAGCGUUACCCGCAGAAGAAGCACCGGCUAACUCCGUGCCAGCAGCCGCGGUAAUAC